GCAGCGGGGGCUUCGGCCUGCCGGCGAGUGGCGAACGGGUGAGUAAUGCAUCGGAACGUGCCCAUGUCGUGGGGGAUAACGUAUCGAAAGGUACGCUAAUACCGCAUACGUCCUGAGGGAGAAAGCGGGGGAUCGCAAGACCUCGCGCGAUUGGAGCGGCCGAUGUCGGAUUAGCUAGUAGGUGAGGUAAAGGCUCACCUAGGCGACGAUCCGUAGCGGGUCUGAGAGGAUGAUCCGCCACACUGGGACUGAGACACGGCCCAGACUCCUACGGGAGGCAGCAGUGGGGAAUUUUGGACAAUGGGGGCAACCCUGAUCCAGCCAUGCCGCGUGAGUGAAGAAGGCCUUCGGGUUGUAAAGCUCUUUCGGCCGGGAAGAAAUCGUGUUCUCUAACAUAGGACAUGGAUGACGGUACCGGACUAAGAAGCACCGGCUAACUACGUGCCAGCAGCCGCGGUAAUACGUAGGGUGCGAGCGUUAAUCGGAAUUACUGGGCGUAAAGCGUGCGCAGGCGGUUUUGUAAGACAGAUGUGAAAUCCCCGGGCUUAACCUGGGAACUGCGUUUGUGACUGCAAGGCUAGAGUACGGCAGAGGGGGGUGGAAUUCCUGGUGUAGCAGUGAAAUGCGUAGAUAUCAGGAGGAACACCGAUGGCGAAGGCAGCCCCCUGGGCCUKUACUGACGCUCAUGCACGAAAGCGUGGGGAGCAAACAGGAUUARAWACCCUGGUAGUCCACGCCCUAAACGAUGUCGACUAGUCGUUCGGAGCAGC
This 770-nucleotide ribosomal RNA is filed under the name Thauera mechernichensis. RNAcentral's name for it is "bacterial SSU rRNA". Lineage: Bacteria; Pseudomonadati; Pseudomonadota; Betaproteobacteria; Rhodocyclales; Zoogloeaceae. The record is from RNAcentral.